RNAcentral lists this ribosomal RNA (1158 nucleotides) under Triticum aestivum (bread wheat). RNAcentral describes it as "partial small subunit ribosomal RNA". Lineage: Eukaryota; Viridiplantae; Streptophyta; Magnoliopsida; Poales; Poaceae. The record is from RNAcentral.
AUGUUCCUCUCUUAUGUUCCACACUAUCCCUUGGAAUUAAUCAUGGUUGUGGACAGGAUGGAGUCAGCAUCCAAGGAGAUGGCACUGAGGUGCACCACGGAGAAGGUGACAGCGUCGAGGUGCUCCACACACAAGGAGGAGGGAGCACACAUCUUUGAGAUCGCCGGGUACAGCCUCAAGAAGGAUAUGGGUGUCGAGAAGUUUGUCCGGUCGGUCACCUUCACUGUCGGUGGGUACGACUGGUCCAUCAGAUUUUAUCCCGAAGGUACCACCGAGUCGCCCGAAGGGUGUAUGGGGAUCUGUCUUGAGCUCAUGAGCAGCAAUGCCGAGGUGCGGACGUUCUUUCGGCUUGGAUUGGUAAAGCAUGAGACAGGGUUGAUUGGCUCAAUGUUUACGCCAAACAAUAAGGUGUUCAGCUCCAAGACCAGGAACAGUCGUGAGUAUCAUCUGUUCAUACUAAGAAGCAGUCUUGAGGCGAAACCACUAAAGUACCUUCAGGAUGAUUUUCUCAUAAUCAAAUGUAAUAUUACGGUAAUCAAAGAAUCUGAGGUUUAUGAAACCAUGGGGCACUCUGAAAUUGAGGUGCCACCGUCAGACAUCAUGGAGCAUCUCGCAAAGCUGUUGGACACUAAAGAGGAAGCAGAUGUCACUUUCAGUGUUGGAGGCGAGACCUUUCAGGCGCACAAGAUUUUGCUUGCCAUGCGAUCACCUGUCUUCAAAGCAGAACUCUUUGGGCCGAUGAAGGAGAAGAGGAUGCGGUGUUUGACCAUCAAAGACAUGCAGCCCGCUGUUUUCAAGGCUCUGCUGCAUUUCAUUUAUACAGAUUCAUUGCCUGACUUGGAUGAUCUUGAAGGCGAUGAUAAGUGUGAAAUGAUCCGGCAUUUGCUGGUAGCUGCAGAUAAGUAUGCCAUGGACAGGCUGAAGAUUAUGUGUCAAAACAUCCUUGGCAAGAGUCUUGAUGUGGAGAACGUGGCAACUACAUUGGCUUUAGCUGAUCAGUAUAGCUGUGACAAGCUUAAAGAUGUUUGCAUUGAAUUUAUUGCCUCUUCAGAUAAGAUGGAUGAUGUGGUGGCAACCAAAGGUUAUGCAAAUCUCAAAAGAUCUUGCCCGUCUGUCUUGAUAGAUGCUUUAGAGAAGAGAAGCAGGCCUCGCAUAUAG